UACGUAGGUAGCGAGCGUUAUUCGGAUUCACUGGGCGUAAAGGGUCCGCAGGAGGCCUGUCAAGUCGGAUGUGAAAGCCCGGGGCUCAACCCUGGAAAGUCAUCCGAAACUGCCGGGCUCGAGUGCAUGAGGGGUAGACGGAAUUCCUGGUGUAGCGGUGGAAUGCGUAGAUAUCAGGAGGAACACCGAUGGCGAAGGCGGUCUACUGGCAUGCAACUGACUCUCAGGGACGAAAGCGUGGGGAG
Molecule: ribosomal RNA, 245 nt
Filed under: uncultured bacterium
Lineage: Bacteria
Description: partial 16S ribosomal RNA
Rfam family: Bacterial small subunit ribosomal RNA
Source: RNAcentral